GUGGGGAAUAUUGGACAAUGGGCGAAAGCCUGAUCCAGCCAUGCCGCGUGUGUGAAGAAGGUCUUCGGAUUGUAAAGCACUUUAAGUUGGGAGGAAGGGCAGUAAGUUAAUACCUUGCUGUUUUGACGUUACCGACAGAAUAAGCACCGGCUAACUUCGUGCCAGCAGCCGCGGUAAUACGAAGGGUGCAAGCGUUAAUCGGAAUUACUGGGCGUAAAGCGCGCGUAGGUGGUUCAGCAAGAUGGAGGUGAAAUCCCCGGGCUCAACCUGGGAACUGCCUCCAAAACUACUGAGCUAGAGUACGGUAGAGGGUAGUGGAAUUUCCUGUGUAGCGGUGAAAUGCGUAGAUAUAGGAAGGAACACCAGUGGCGAAGGCGACUACCUGGACUGAUACUGACACUGAGGUGCGAAAGCGUGGGGAGCAAACAGGAUUAGAUACCCUUGUAGUCC
This 450-nucleotide ribosomal RNA is filed under the name uncultured bacterium. RNAcentral's name for it is "partial 16S ribosomal RNA". It matches the Rfam family "Bacterial small subunit ribosomal RNA", at positions 354 to 796 of the family's 1533-position model. The record is from RNAcentral.